GAACCAGUGCGCCGCGCUACACAGGCGCACGGGUGCGUAACGCGUGGGAAUCUGCCCCUCGGUUCGGAACAACAGUUAGAAAUGACUGCUAAUACCGGAUGAUGACGUAAGUCCAAAGAUUUAUCGCCGAGGGAUGAGCCCGCGUAGGAUUAGCUAGUUGGUGUGGUAAAGGCGCACCAAGGCGACGAUCCUUAGCUGGUCUGAGAGGAUGAUCAGCCACACUGGGACUGAGACACGGCCCAGACUCCUACGGGAGGCAGCAGUGGGGAAUAUUGGACAAUGGGCGAAAGCCUGAUCCAGCAAUGCCGCGUGAGUGAUGAACGCCUUACGGUUGUAAAGCUCUUUUACCCGGGAUGAUAAUGACAGUACCGGGAGAAUAAGCUCCGGCUAACUCCGUGCCAGCACCCGCGUAAU
This 414-nucleotide ribosomal RNA is filed under the name uncultured bacterium. RNAcentral's name for it is "bacterial SSU rRNA". It matches the Rfam family "Bacterial small subunit ribosomal RNA", at positions 76 to 524 of the family's 1533-position model. The record is from RNAcentral.